ACGGCUAUUAUUUAUUUGAUCCAAUGCUCGCGAUUUUUUUGUGUGGAAUUGGAAAAUGGAGUUGAAAUUGGACCGGUUUAAUUCCGGUUCAUGCUAGACCAGUGCCAUCGAUUCGAGCCGAAGUAAGAUCAGGGUUAUUUUGUCUGAGCGAUCCUUGACUCCGUUCACCGGGAUCCGGCUCGAGUUGUUGGCUCGAACUGGUCCAGCCUGAAUAUAUUGUCUUAUGUCUGUCAAA
Molecule: long non-coding RNA, 235 nt
Filed under: Elaeis guineensis (African oil palm)
Lineage: Eukaryota; Viridiplantae; Streptophyta; Magnoliopsida; Arecales; Arecaceae
Description: long non-coding RNA (EGUI_LNC001439)
Source: RNAcentral